AUAAUGGUGGUUCAGUGGUAGGAUUCUUGCCUUCCAUGCAGGAGACCUGGGCUCCACUCCCAGCCAAUGCC
This 71-nucleotide transfer RNA is filed under the name Loxodonta africana (African savanna elephant). It matches the Rfam family "tRNA". From Rfam's summary of the family: Transfer RNA (tRNA) molecules are approximately 80 nucleotides in length. Their secondary structure includes four short double-helical elements and three loops (D, anti-codon, and T loops). Lineage: Eukaryota; Metazoa; Chordata; Mammalia; Proboscidea; Elephantidae. The record is from Rfam by way of RNAcentral.